RNAcentral lists this microRNA precursor (62 nucleotides) under Petromyzon marinus (sea lamprey). Its description in RNAcentral is "Pma-Mir-29-P1o1_pre stem-loop". It matches the Rfam family "mir-29 microRNA precursor family", at positions 6 to 64 of the family's 70-position model. Rfam says of the family: This family represents the microRNA (miRNA) precursors mir-29. Lineage: Eukaryota; Metazoa; Chordata; Hyperoartia; Petromyzontiformes; Petromyzontidae. The record is from RNAcentral.
ACUGAUUUCUCUUGGUGUUUAGAGUUCCGUAUGCCUGGUCUAGCACCAUUUGAAAUCAGUUA